CAAGUCGAACGCGAAAGUCCCCUUCGGGGGAUAAGUAGAGUGGCGCACGGGUGAGUAACACGUAGGUAAUCUACCUUCGGGUGGGGAAUAACCCAGGGAAACUUGGGCUAACACCGCAUAAUGCAGCGGCACCACAUGGUGACAGUUGUUAAAGCGGGGGAUCUUAGGACCUCGCGCCUGAAGAGGAGCCUGCGGCGGAUUAGCUAGUUGGUGAGGUAACGGCUCACCAAGGUGACGAUCCGUAGCCGGCCUGAGAGGGCGGUCGGCCACACUGACACUGACAUACGGGUCAGACUCCUACGGGAGGCAGCAGUCGGGAAUUUUGGGCAAUGGGCGAAAGCCUGACCCAGCAACGCCGCGUGAAGGAUGAAAUCCCUCGGGAUGUAAACUUCGCAAGAAUGGGAAGAAUUAGUAGGGGUCAAUACCCCCUAUGAUGACGGUACCAUUUGUAAGCUCCGGCUAACUCCGUGCCAGCAGCCGCGGUAAUACGGGGGGAGCAAGCGUUGUUCGGAUUUACUGGGCGUAAAGGGCGCGUAGGCGGUCAGCACAAGUCAGUUGUGAAAUCUCCGGGCUUAACUCGGAAAGGUCAACUGAUACUGUGCGACUAGAGUGCGGAAGGGGCAACUGGAAUUCUCGGUGUAGCGGUGAAAUGCGUAGAUAUCGAGAGGAACACCUGCGGCGAAGGCGGGUUGCUGGGCCGACACUGACGCUGAUGCGCGAAAGCCAGGGGAGCGAACGGGAUUAGAUACCCCGGUAGUCCUGGCCUUAAACGAUGGAUGCUUGGUGUCUGGGGUUUUAUAGUCCCCGGGUGCCGCAGCUAACGCGUUAAGCAUCCCGCCUGGGGAGUACGGUCGCAAGACUGAAACUCAAAGAAAUUGACGGGGACCCGCACAAGCGGUGGA
This 902-nucleotide ribosomal RNA is filed under the name uncultured Pseudomonadota bacterium. Its description in RNAcentral is "bacterial SSU rRNA". It matches the Rfam family "Bacterial small subunit ribosomal RNA", at positions 58 to 936 of the family's 1533-position model. Lineage: Bacteria; Pseudomonadati; Pseudomonadota. The record is from RNAcentral.